CAUCGGCGUAAAGAGUGGUUAAGUUAAAAUUCGUACUAAAGUCGAACAUCCUCCAGGCUGUUAUACGCAUCCGAAGAUAAGAAGUUCAACCACGAAUGUAGCUUUAUUUAAUCUGAACCCACGAAAGCUACGGCACAAACUGGGAUUAGAUACCCCACUAUGCCUAGCCCUAAACAUUGAUAGUAUAUUACACCCACUAUCCGCCUGGGAACUACGAGCAUUACCUUAAAACCCUAAGGACUUGGCGGUGCUUUAGAUCCACCUAGAGGAGCCUGUUCUAGAACCGAUAACCCCCGUUCUAGCUCACCUUUUCUUGUUUUUUCCGCCUAUAUACCGCCGUCGUCAGCUUACCCUGUGAAGUACAAAUAGUAAGCAAACUGGUAG
RNAcentral lists this ribosomal RNA (384 nucleotides) under Pholis gunnellus (rock gunnel). RNAcentral's name for it is "partial 12S ribosomal RNA". It matches the Rfam family "Bacterial small subunit ribosomal RNA", at positions 547 to 1108 of the family's 1533-position model. Lineage: Eukaryota; Metazoa; Chordata; Actinopteri; Perciformes; Pholidae. The record is from RNAcentral.